UUUUUUUUUUUUUUUCCAUGGCCUUAUUGCUCUAUAAGUGUAUAUGCAUAAUACUCAAUGUCAAAAAUGAAGGUGAUUUAUCUAAAAAUAAGUUUGAGACAGGCCUGUGUUUUGCUGGUACAUUGGUAUUUGAAGACCUAGUUUGAGAUUAGUCGAUUGUCAUCCUGUUUAAAACGCUUGCUGUCUAUUCACUUAAUGGAAGAUCACAUAAUAGUUAACAUUUUUGCUUGUUCAUUGAACAGUAUUACAGUGUGAUUUCUUCUGUGUAAGCUGCAUGACAGGACUCUCAACAAGCAGGACAAACAUACUUGCUUGUAUUCCUAAUGUGUAUCUUGCUUUGAUGUUCAUCUUUCUUGUUAGUCAAAGGAUCAAAAUAAAAUCUUUUCAAGGUAAUUGACUUAAUUUACUCUGCAUGUGUAGCAUGGCUGUACUACUAAAAGCAUGCUCAGUAGCCAGCUCUGACAACUCCUUAGGAGUUUUUCAUAUCAAUCCUUCAAAUGUUAAAGAUAAUUGUAAAUUAAUUAGGGAGGCUUUUCUUGUCUCUGAUUGCUGCAAAUACAGUUCUUGAACAUAAGAUCUAGAAGUUCAUUUUGAAGACAUUAAGAAGUAGAUGCACUGUUUGUGAUUCCUGACUAAAUGAACAAUCUGACAUGCAAUUCUACUUGAGACAUGGAUGCUUUUAACUGGAAAUCCUUUGCAAUUGGAAAGGCUGGACUGUGGAUGAUCUCUCUCACAGUGACCAAGUGCUCUCGAAGAUGUCAGAUGGUCCCCUCCAUCCCUCCAUAAAGAAACUGCUACCAAGUUUAGCACAGGUAUUUAAAUAUUGCUUUCAAGUUAGCCUGUUGGGAAACUGAAUUCUGCAGUGUUUUUAUCAAAACCUGGUCCUUUUUGAUGUAUAGGAAUUAUUACGUAUGCAGCAUGUAUGAAAUGUGUCUUUUGAAACAGCUCAAAUUUGCAAUGCAUGUAGUCCUAUUAUUUCUAACUGCUUGCAACUAUGUGCAGCUUGUGUUAAAGUAACACUGAGGCAGCAAAAACAUAUGGACUGUCAGUCUGUUUAGGGCAGCAUACUUCUGUCCCUUAUAAAAAUAUUUUUAUUAUCA
Molecule: long non-coding RNA, 1100 nt
Filed under: Strigops habroptila (Kakapo)
Lineage: Eukaryota; Metazoa; Chordata; Aves; Psittaciformes; Psittacidae
Description: lncRNA (ENSSHBG00005014048.1)
Source: RNAcentral